CAUGUCCACUGAGUCGGUGAUGCCAUCCAACCACCUCAUCCUCUGUCGUCCCCUUCUCCUCCUGCCUUCAAUCUUUCCCAGCAUCAGAGUCUUCAAAUGAGUCAGUUCUUCAGAUCAUGUUACACCGAGACAUUGUGUGUGACCGUGUAUGUGACAUAUCGGUGACUGCAUGUGACAUCAUGAGUUUGGGUGUCCAUGAGACACUAUUUGGGGGACUGUGACAUCGAGAGACCAUGUGUGAGCAAGAGGUCAUGUGUGACAGUGUGCAAUAUGGCAAGGAUGGGAGAGUUGUGUGUGUCCACGGGGAGAUGGUGUGUGAGAGAGGGCAAGAAUGAAUGAGAAUGACCCACCAAGUAAUGGUGUGAGAAGCAGUGUGAGAGACCUGUGGGGAGGGAAGCUGAGUGUGAGUGACCUUGUGAGUGUGCAACAAAGAUGUGUCAGCCACAAUGGUGACAUGUGAGAUGCCGGGUGUGACUGUAACACAGAUCAUGUGGGACCCUGAGAGACUGGCAGAGUGUCAUGUCAGUGCAUUAGAGAGUGUGCAACUGUCCAGGGUGCUCAGAUGAGCGUGCAAGAGAAACCUCAUGGGUGUGAGUUGUGACACUGGGAGGCUGCGGUGUGAAGGCAGCACCUGUGUGUGAUACAGACUGUGUGAGGCUCAGCAAGACAUCUUGAGAGGUUGUGUGUGAUCCUGUGUGGAACUGUGUGUGUGUAUACACUGGAUGCUCAGAGGUCGUCCCUUUGACUGUGGUUGUGUAAGAUGUCACUGGUGGUGAUGGGCCUCUCAGAUUGUGAGGGACUGUGUGACAUUUCGAGAAGUCGAGUGACUGUGGCCCUGUGGAAGGUUAGGGUGGUUCAGGAGACUGUACACAACGAGGAGCUGUGCAUCUCUGCGAGGGACUGUGAGUAUGAUUCUGUGUGCUGAGAGGGGAUCAUCUGGGAUGGGGUGACACGGAGGUUGUGGGUGGGACAGGGUGGCAGAGCGUAUGUAAUGGAGUGUGAGGCUGUGUGGGACCCACAGGAGAGCUCUGGAUGACUGUGGGAUAAAUGCGGCAGAGCGGCGGGACUCAUCCUAAGAGACUCUUGACCUGUGAGAGUGUGUGUGUGUGUGUGUGUGUGUGAGUGUGUGAGUGUGACAGAGAUAGAGACAGAGAUUGAGAAGGGAGACAGACAGAGAGGAAGGGAGAGAGACACAGACACACAAAGACAAAGAGAGAGAUGGACAGACGUAAUGAGAGGACCCAGAGAGAAAAGACGCAAGGGUGAUGGGGAUGCUGGUGGCAGGAGGAGGCGGGUCCUCAGGGGCUGUGCCCCAGGAGAGGGGGCGGGGCAGAACUGAAGCGGGGCGGGGGGGGGGGGGAACACCCAGACGCUGUGUCUCGGCCACCCGCCUGCCUUCCCAGCCCUGAGCAGCAACAGGUAGGAUGCUGUGGUCCUGAACCCCGACAGCUGGUCCCUCUGCCUGGGAAUGAAUGAAUGCGUGAGUGAAUGAAUGACUUUAUCCUUGCUCAUCUCCAUCAGCCUGUCUUCCCCUCUGUCUCUCCGUGUGUCCCCUCCUGCACCUCCACUUCCUUCUGUCUGCCCUGCCCUUUCUCGCCUCUCUCCCCUCUAUCACUGUCCCUCCCCCUAGCACUCUAUGUGCCCCUCUUUCUGUUCUCUCCCACCUCCGUCACUCCAUCUCUCCCCAAGCCUUCCAUCGCCCCUUCUCUUUCCUCCCUCUGUCCUUUCGUCCGCUCUGUGCUUCUCUCUCCCUGUAUCACUCUCUUUCCUCACACCCCUGUCUCCCUCCCUCCCUCUGUCUCUUCUCUCUCCAUCGCUCCAUCCCUCCCGCCCGCCUCUCCACCUUUCUCUCCUUCAGUCUCUUUAUUCCCCCCUCCCUCUCCCCGUCUCUGUUUGUCCCCUCUGUUUGUCCCUGUCGCCAUCCUCCCUGUCCCUCUCCCAGUCCUGGCUGGGUUGCCCCCCUCUCCAGCCCUUUCUCUGGCUGCUAAUGAGCAGAGGAGCCUUUGAGGUGGCCAGGGCUGGGAUGGGGGGCUCCCCGAGGGGGGCGGAGGGGGCAGCUGCUGCCAAGGCCCUAAUGAGGCCCCCUCUGCGCCCCUCCCGCCGUGAUCUUAAUUCCUUCUUCUCCCUGGAGCCAGCGCUAAUUGGCCUGGGGAGGGCCCCCUUCUGGCUCAUGUGCUCUCUCCAGGAGGUGAGGACACCUGGAUCUCUGGAUCCAACACCUGUGUUCCUGUCCUUCUGUCCCUCCCUCCACCAGCUUCUCGGCCUCCCAUCUGUGCUUUCCCCGCUGCCUUCCCUCUCUUCUCUGUUCCCUCCGUCACCUGCCUCUAGGUACCCCAUCUGUGCACCCCUCCAAGCCUUCUCUUGGCCCUCUUGGCCCUGUUCAUUGGUCCCUCUUUCGGCCGGCUUCUUGGUCCCCCAUCUACGCAGAUCUCCAUCUCUCCCCUUUUCUUCUGUUUUUCUGUCUCUUCCUCCACUCUGGACACCGCAUCGGUGAGCCCUUCACGCACGCCCCUGUUAACUGGGUUCCACCACCACCACCAACCCUAUCUGGGGACCCAGUUUUGCCCUAGCCUACUCCUUCGCCUCCACUCCCACGGGCUUUUAACCUUUUCCCGCCGCAGCCAUGUCCAACAACAUGGCCAAGAUCGCGGAGGCCCGGAAGACCGUGGAGCAGCUGAAGCUGGAGGUGUCGCAGGCAGCGGCCGAGCUCCUGGCCUUCUGCGAGACUCACGCGAAAGAUGACCCGCUGGUGACGCCGGUACCCGCCGCAGAGAACCCCUUCCGAGACAAGCGCCUCUUCUGCGUCCUGCUCUGAGCCCUCCCGACAG
RNA transcript from Cervus elaphus (red deer), 2828 nucleotides. It is a transcript of the gene named G protein subunit gamma 8, with no coding region annotated. The transcript has 2 exons. NCBI's taxonomy places the organism in Eukaryota, Metazoa, Chordata, Mammalia, Artiodactyla, Cervidae. The record is from RefSeq and is a predicted model, not a curated record.